CAAGGAGUAGCUUACACAAAGCAUUUAACUUACAAUUAAAAAACGUCCUUUAUGGACCCCCUUGA
This 65-nucleotide transfer RNA is filed under the name Lucasium damaeum (beaded gecko). RNAcentral's name for it is "tRNA-Val". The record is from RNAcentral. Lineage: Eukaryota; Metazoa; Chordata; Lepidosauria; Squamata; Diplodactylidae.